RNA transcript from Diachasmimorpha longicaudata, 1917 nucleotides. It is a transcript of the gene named vesicle transport protein SEC20, with no coding region annotated. Lineage: Eukaryota; Metazoa; Arthropoda; Insecta; Hymenoptera; Braconidae. The record is from RefSeq and is a predicted model, not a curated record. The transcript has 5 exons.
AUCCGAAGCUUAGGACCAUAUAAAUCUAUCUAUAGUAGAAUGAGGGAGGAGAUUAUUGCCCCUAAAUUAUAAAUUAUGCAUUGAAUUUCAUUCCAGUCCACACAUUUCGUAUUGUACAGUCCCCAUCUAAAAAAAAUAAAAUGAAUACGUGGCUCAUACAGCAAAAGUCACCAUAUGCAGUGCCAGACUUGUUGGGAGACAGUACCGGACGAUGUAGUUGAAGUAUCCCUUUCAUUUAAAUAAAUAAUAAAUAAAGGACGUGAAAAUGGAUACAGCAGACCCUGCCAUUGCCCUUAUUCGUCAUGAAAUUGUCAAAAAUCAUCUGGAAGUGGCUGCCUCAAUACAAGACAUUCAACAAUGUACAGGACCCCUAGAGCUUCUGAACGAAUUGAACGCAGAAGGCAGAUCACGAAUAGCAAAAUUACGAUGUAGCAUUGACAGUUUAUCAACACUAGCAGAGACUGAAAUAAAUGCUAAACGGAAGGCCGAAUUAUUAUUAGAAGUUGAUAACAGAAAAAGUCAAUUAUCGAUGGCACUGGCAGCAUUCAAGAAGGCCACGAUCGUUGGUGCCUGCGUCAUUGAUAAAAUGGCCAAGGAGGAGUUGUUAUCAACGUCAGAGGAGCAAGAGAUGCUGCUGAGAAAGAGACGAGAUCGACAGGGCUUCGCUGAUACUGCUAACAAGGCUACCGAUAGACUUUUAAGUAUUUCGCGAACACUUGCAGAGACCAAUCAGCGGAGUGCAGAUACCCUUGACACUCUCCUAACAUCGUCAGAUAAAGUUACCGGUACGAGAGAAGAAUUGGAACACCAACAGCAAGCAAUAGUUCAGUCAGGAAAGCUCUUGGGGAAGUAUGGGAGACGAGAAGUGACAGACAAAGCUCUCCUGGCACUGGCAUUCGCCUUCUUCCUCGCGUGCGUUUUUUAUAUCAUUCAGAAGAGGAUCUGGUAGAGCUAUGAAAUUUUAUUCCGGCUUCAGCAUCAUUUUCCUCUUCUUUAUUCGGCGCUGGCCUUCUGUCCCGCCGACGUGACAGCGACGCUAUAAAAGACACAGAGAUAUGAUGCAUCUCGGUAUUCAGAGUCAGAAUUGCCAGGACGACUGAUCCAAACGUUUUUUUUUUUUCGAAAAUAAAGAUCGUGAAAGUUUGUGGAGAUAUUGGUGCCAAAUGAGAGUUUAACAUUUCGUCAGCAGAAUUAAGAAUGUCCUGAUGGGGAUUCCCUGAGAGCCAGAUCACUGGAUCGCCAACGAAAAUAUUUAUCACAUCAACUGAUUGAUUAAUCACCGUGAGAGUGAGGACUGCUGGAGCUAAUCUACUCAACUCAAUCAAUAAAAAAAAUUCUGAAAAAAUGAAGAUCAUUAUUUUGUUCCUGUUGUUCACCUGUGUCUGGAGUGCUCCAUGGCUGGAGGGGAUAUUCAAUCCAUAUCCAGUGCAACGCAGGGUCGAGCCAAGACGACAUCGUCAAGGAAAGAAUGGGAAGGAACGGUGGAAAGAGAUUUGCAAAACGAUAAAUCCCAAUGGAUAUGCAUUUCCAGGACAAGUGCCAUAUCCAGCGUCACCACCUUGUACUUAUUAACUCUAUCUGGACGAAUGUCUUCAUCACAUCUCGCAAUAACGAGGAUUUCAGCUCACAAUUGUGAAGAAAAAACACUCAUAUUUGUUCAAAAACGAGUUCCGAAUAUGGAAAAUUUAGUGUGUACAUAUAGCAAGAUUUUGUUUACGUUAUUUUUAUUUGUUAUGACGUUCGGGUUAUCAGAAUGGAAACCCCCUGAGGGGGUUCCCUAAGAUCCAAAUGACUGGAUCGACAAAAAUUGUUUUUAUUCAAAUAUGUAAUUAAUUAAUCAUUAUAAAUCGCCGGAUGAUUAUCUAGACUGAUUUGUAGGUAUCAAAAAUACAAAUUUCUUACGGAAACAUAAGAUAA